RNAcentral lists this ribosomal RNA (253 nucleotides) under uncultured bacterium. RNAcentral's name for it is "partial 16S ribosomal RNA". It matches the Rfam family "Bacterial small subunit ribosomal RNA", at positions 524 to 776 of the family's 1533-position model. The record is from RNAcentral.
UACGGAGGGGGCGAGCGUUAUUCGGAAUUAUUGGGCGUAAAGGGCGCGUAGGCGGCUGUACAAGUCAAAGGUGAAAUCCCUCGGCUCAACUGAGGAACUGCCUUUGAAACUGUACGGCUUGAGUCCGGAAGAGGAGAGUGGAAUUCCCGGUGUAGCGGUGAAAUGCGCAGAUAUCGGGAAGAACACCCGUGGCGAAGGCGGCUCUCUGGGACGGUACUGACGCUGAGACGCGAAAGCGUGGGGAGCGAACAGG